This 478-nucleotide ribosomal RNA is filed under the name uncultured bacterium. Its description in RNAcentral is "bacterial SSU rRNA". It matches the Rfam family "Bacterial small subunit ribosomal RNA", at positions 28 to 507 of the family's 1533-position model. The record is from RNAcentral.
GAUGAACGCUAGCGGCAGGCCUAAACAUGCAAGUCGAGGGUAGAAUUAGCUUGCUAAUUUGAGACCGGCGCACGGGUGCGUAACGCGUAUGCAAUCUACCUUGUACAGGGGGAUAGCCCAGAGAAAUUUGGAUUAAUACUCCAUGGUAUAAUUGAAUCGCAUGGUUUGAUUAUUAAAGUUCCAACGGUACAAGAUGAGCAUGCGUCCCAUUAGCUAGUUGGUGUGGUAACGGCAUACCAAGGCGACGAUGGGUAGGGGUCCUGAGAGGGAGAUCCCCCACACUGGUACUGAGACACGGACCAGACUCCUACGGGAGGCAGCAGUGAGGAAUAUUGGUCAAUGGUCGGAAGACUGAACCAGCCAUGCCGCGUGCAGGAAGACGGUCCUAUGGAUUGUAAACUGCUUUUGUACGGGAAGAAACACUCCUUCGUGAAGGAGCUUGACGGUACCGUAAGAAUAAGGAUCGGCUAACUCCGUG